RNAcentral lists this long non-coding RNA (4162 nucleotides) under Salmo salar (Atlantic salmon). RNAcentral describes it as "lncRNA (ENSSSAG00000095204.1)". The stretch from base 1051 to 1104 matches the Rfam family "UnaL2 LINE 3' element". The record is from RNAcentral. Lineage: Eukaryota; Metazoa; Chordata; Actinopteri; Salmoniformes; Salmonidae.
CAGCUACGUGCAACCAUAUUUAAAUACAUCAAGGAAAUUAGUGCAUCAAAAUAUGCAAAUCCAGCUUACCAUCUAGCCGCUGCGGGAGUAAUUCCCCCCACCGGUUCUUGGGUAUUUGAUUGCCGUUUUGAAAGCGAACAUUGCCUUGUUUGUUUUUGACGAAGCUCCGAGCGUGUGUGAGCAGUGCGGAUCGGAAACAUGAAGUGAAGAAACCAAGGGUUCUGCCUGGGAAAUCGCCUGUGCAUAAUGAGACGACCUGCUCUGCCAUUCUCAAUGCUCGACGCUGUUGGUUCCAGCGCUAUGCACGCGCUCUCAAUCAAGUCGACGCCAAUUUUCCAGCCCAAUUGAUUGUGCGAGCCGGUUGGAGACGCUGUACUCCCUACUCGUGUAACUCUGCCUCCUCCACAAGUGAACCUUGCUCCCAAACUGCUCGUCUGAUGUGUCACCCAAUAGAAGUGGUCAGACGGGCACACGUAAAGAUUUUUCCCUCCGAAGAGGCUGCAUGCUGUCAUGGACCUACAAGUAGUUUGUCUUGACAAACACACAUGGGGUUGCAUGCAUAGGCUACAACAUUCUAAGAUUAGUGCACAUCAAUUAUUGCUUUCGCCACUUUAAAACCAAACCACAUUUUGCGAAUUUGUAGGCUAUAGUGUGACGCACUUGGACCAAUAUGUACACUGAGGAAUGGCAGCUAUAUGUGACCUAGAUAGGCAUAAGGUGCGGUUCCAAUUUCCAAUCACACUAAUAAUACAUAUUUACAACUUAGUGUUGAGCUACAGGCCGAACAAGGUCUUUAGCAAGAUUUAGAAAAAUGAGAGCUAUUUGAAUUUACACAUUUUUUGGAGACAAAAGCAAUUAGGCUACCUAUUUGUCAUUUGAAUUGCCACGGAUAGCUGUCAAAAUGGACAGCCAUUGAAUACGUGUGGUGGCAUGUAGCCAAUAGCGGCUAAGAGCGUUGGGCCAGUAGGCCUAACCGAAAAGUCGCUGGUUCGAAUCCCCGAGCCGCCUAGGUGCAAAAUCUGGCGAUGUGCCCUUGAGCAAGGCAGUUAACAUAACUGCUCCUGUAAGUCACUCUGGAUAAGAGCGUCUGCUAAAUGACUAAAAUGUAAAAUAUAUUCCAGUAUCAUAUACCUAAGAUGGAGGAAUGUGAUGAUAGAGAAGAAACUGUUAACAUUUAGCAUAUAGAAAAAAUCAUAUAGGCCUGUAUUUCAAAUCUAUAUUUCCGAAGACAAAGCCAUUAUAAUCUUAAUGUGGUCCGUCAAUCAAUUAUCAAAUGCAUAAUGCAUAUUUCUGUCUGACACGUUAGACUUCAUAUUAGAAGUAGAUCAUGAGUAGGCUUAUCUAAAUCACCAGCCUUCCAUAUUGUGGUCAACAUGGACUAUCCUCAUUACGUAUCACAAAUACACGGUCAGCCUAUAGUGGUAAAGAGAGGACAAUCAUUUGUAUCCACUCAUACUAUUUUCAAUCGUAUCCCUUCCAGCUAGAAAAUAUUGCCAAUAUUUGCUAUUUCCAACUGCAUUCAAAUUACAGUAAUGGUCAGGUGUGGCGUUUUCUAUAGAGAUUGCGUUGAUUUUGCUGCUUGUGCUGUCAGUUUUGACCAAAACUCACCCAUGCAACAUAGCAUUUCAUCCUUGUUAUUUAUAUUCAUACAAAUUAUAUAUUUAAUCUCUAGAAAGAAAGACACAUCUAAAGCAUUCGUUUAAAAAAAAAAAAGAAUCAAUCUCACCAUAACGAAACUGGCUUUGAUCAGAGAUAAAUUGGGAUGCUCUGUGUGUGUGUGUGUGUGUGUGUGUGUGUGUGUGUGUGUGUGUGUGUGUGUGAGAGAGAGAGAAAGAGAAAGAGAGAUAGAAAGAGAGAGAGAAAGAGAGAGAGAGAGGGAGGUAGGUUGCGUUUGUGGGAUUUGAUUUGUGAGUCAUAGUUUCAAUGUCGCUGCAACGUUACGUAAACCAGACAAACAAACAUUAAUUUUGUAUUAUUAUUAUUGUUAUUAUUACCACAAGUAUAUAAACAAGUUAUUAUUACUUUGCUACUAUUAGACCCGGGAAUACUACUCUUUAUCAGUAUACUCAACUUUGGAAUUCGACAUUGAUGAACAGAAUAUGUCCAUAGCAUGGACUAGAGAUUAUUUAGCGAAUAUGAAUUAAGAGUUGUAUCUUUGAUAAUGCAGUACGAUAAUACAGUGUUGGUGCGUGUUGAGAUAGAGGUUUGGACUGAGGAUGUGGAUGGGGAUAUAUGGUGUUCCUUCGCUAAUAAAUGGCGACAUCUAGUGGUUCCUGUGGGGAAAUGACGUUACACGAGUUUCUGGAGAAUUUCGAUCUUUUAUUGUUGAGAAAUUAACAAGAUCAUGACAGCAGAAUAUCAUAUAUACCUCAACGUCGGUAAAUAUCGAAAUAACUUAUGAACGAAUUAAUUUGUAUGGAUUGACAACCACACGUAUACUGAUAUAGUGCUCAAUAACACAUCCUUGUGUUUUCCCCCCUUAAAUUGCAAUGAGAUUGCAUAGCCUAUAUCCUCAAACUAAUUAUCAUUCUUCUCAUGUCUGACUUUGACAGGUUUACAGAGCCAUAAUGUUUACAUUAUAUGUUUUUCUAAAUGUAUGUCUCUGUGUUUUCAUAUUAUUGUUAUCAUUAUUCUUAUUAUGCUAUCCUUCGAUUUAAUAUGCUUUGAAUUACGGUCGUGUGACGCAUUUUUAACAUUUCAAUUAAUCGGAAAUGGUAAAUAAUCUGCUUUAAAUAACAACAGUUCACUUCUUUCAGCUAUGCAUUCAACUAGUGUAAUUAUUUUCUUCGAUUCCUUAUUCCUGUAAGAUUUGAAUGAGCUUAGGCUACACAUAAUGAAUCAGCAUUUGUGCAAGCAAAUCCAGAUAUUAAACUUCAGAUCCCCUUUCUCUUGUUAAUCCUAUGAAGAAAAUGCUUAUUUUAGCCCCUGACUUGAGCGGCCAGUUCACCUGCGGUGUUUGCCUAUCCAACAUAUUGCUCUCUCUGCACCUGAGGUUGCACGCGCAGCAACCCCUGUAGCCUCAGCGAAUCCGGGUCACUGCAGUUUUUAUGCAACAUAUAAAGCAUGUGCUUUCAUUAUCGAAUUAGCCUAUAUGCUUUCACUCAGUCUUAAGUAAUGUGAAUCAAACGAGGUUACAUAUAAAAUGUAGGAACAAACUAAAUAGACUAUGUAGCAAUGGAAUUCAAAUAGGCUGAGGCCUAAAACUGUCCUUAUUUUUAAAAUAAAAAAACUCGAUAGCCUAUAUAUAUAUAAAAAUACAAAUAGACAUGCCAAUUGGGGGUGCAAUUGAUAACGAUGGUUUCUGGUAGCAAUCAUUCAUUUUGUGCUAUGUUUUGUCAAAAUAUCGUUUAAGUUUAGUUCUCUGCUUCACGCUGCGCACAGUUUGCGUAAUCCUUUCGCAGUGUAAUGCCUUUUCCCCCGGUUUUGGUUUCACAUUUCCCAUUCACAUCCAUUUUAGAUUGACUUUUUCAGGAUGACAAAGACCAUUCGUUCUACCAGUCAAUGAAUCAACCACAAGCAAAAAUAUGUAUUUCUGAAAUGUCUUGUUGAUAUGAAGUUUUUACAACCAUUUAUGGACAUAUGUUAUUUUUUGUCAUACUGAUAUGUAAAGGGUGGGGAUAGUGUAUCAUUACACCGUUUUCAACCAUCCCACAACCAUCCUACAACCAUUCUCAAUAUGACAAAGCACCUUCAAUGAAUCCAGGCAUGUUUUUAUUUAUUUAUAGACCACUCAGGCUUUUAUGUGCUCUUUAGUAGAGCUCAUACUCUGUGACCCAUUUUUGCAUUAAAUUCGAUGGGGGAAUUACUUUCAGUCUUUCCGAAAUGUGGACAAUUUAACUCAUAUUGUCGGACUGUCUUCUUUGUUGCAUUUUUUUCAUUGCAAAUACUCAGAAUAAAUGUAUGUUAACUGGCAAAAUGUAUCAUUAGGAUUAAUUAUGUUAUUUUAAUGUUAAGUGAGACAAACCUUGGUUGUAAAUGUCAAAUAAAAGUCUGAAUUCUGAGUUCCCAUGAAUCUCAGUGCCAUAAUGUUGUACAAUUGGAACAAAUAAAGCCAGAAAGGCCAUAGCCAUGUCUCAUUGUCUCAAUGUCAUGUCGUCCAUAUUGUGUUAUAUUGUAGAACGUCAAUGACGCAACACAUUCAUUCAGUCAUUAUCUGGUGACG